RNAcentral lists this ribosomal RNA (483 nucleotides) under uncultured bacterium. RNAcentral describes it as "partial 16S ribosomal RNA". The stretch from base 54 to 483 matches the Rfam family "Bacterial small subunit ribosomal RNA", at positions 39 to 506 of the family's 1533-position model. The record is from RNAcentral.
GGGGGGGGGGGGCGGGGUGCUGGGGGGGGGCGGGUGGAACGGGGGGGCGGGGUGCGGCGGGGGGGCGGGUGGCGAGCGGGGGAGGGAGGCAUCGGAACGGGGCCGGGAGGGGGGGAGAGGCCGGCGAAAGAGGGGUGAAUACGGCAGCCGCCAUGAGGGUGACAGCGGGGGGCGGAAAGGCCUCGCGCGAUUGGGGCGGCCGAUGGCGGAGUAGCUAGUUGGGUGGGUAAAGGCUAACCAAGGCGACGAUCCGUAGCUGGUCGGAGAGGACGAGCAGCCACCCUGGGACUGAGACACGGCCCAGACUCCUACGGGAGGCAGCAGUGGGGAAUUUUGGACAAUGGGGGCAACCCUGAUCCAGCCAUGCCGCGUGCGGGAAGAAGGCCUUCGGGUUGUAAACCGCUUUUGUUCGGGAAGAAAUCCUCUGGGCUAAUACCCCGGGGGGAUGACGGUACCGGAAGAAUAAGCACCGGCUAACUACGU